RNAcentral lists this non-coding RNA (28 nucleotides) under Fusarium sambucinum. The record is from RNAcentral. RNAcentral also lists the same sequence under 2 other names. Lineage: Eukaryota; Fungi; Ascomycota; Sordariomycetes; Hypocreales; Nectriaceae.
AUCAGGUAGGAGUACCCGCUGAACUUAA